CUCCACCGCCUCCCUCCGCCGCCGCACGAGCCAACUCUGCGCCCACUCCCCGGCCUCCGCCCGCCGCCCCGCCCGCCGCCCCAUGGCGCCCCAGGCCCUAGUUCUGCGGGGCCACUAGGACCCUAGGCGUCCCCUUCCCUCCCCCCUCCCACGGCGCGAACCCGGGGGUCCACUGCGCCCAGCUUUGGAGCUUCGCGUCCCAGAAGAGAGGGGACCUCCCCCCCACCUCCCCGCCCAGUCUCCUGGGACCCGGAGAAAAUGUCUUCGCGGACGGCGCUGGCCCCGGGCAACGACCGGAACUCGGACACGAUCCUCCAAAAGGAGAAUAAUUCCAGAACUGAGAGUAACAUGGCAUUGACGAUAAGAAACCGUGACGUCCAGUAAUGGACCUCCAGCCAGUCCCAAGCAAAUUCGGCAAUCAGCUGGUACGGAAGGAAGGAGUAUUUCACCAGGAAUUCUCUCCACUGCUUCCACGUGGGUUCCCUCAGAUCCUUUCCAAGUAACGCACAGGCUCCGGCUGCGUCUCCAACUCCCCCCUGAGCCGAGGGACGGCAGCGAGACCCGGCCCAGGGCCCUCUGCAGACCCACCAGCAGCCUGGUGAUGAUGUCCUCGCUGGAGCCGCCUUCCUGCAGAGGGCAGAUGGUGUGGAUGAAGGGCAGGAAGGUGUCCGUGUAGUCGAACAGGUAGAGGUACAGCAGGCCGAGCCUGGGGGAGCUCUUGAGGGCGUAGAGCAGGAACAGCGACCUGCCGGGGUUCACGGCCUGCGGUGGACGAGAGGGGAGGACUCAUUACCCCCCCCCCCCCGACCCCGGCCCGCCCCCCACCUCCCCUCGCUCCUUCCGGUCUCCCACCCCUGCCACACGCUUCGCCCUAACACCGAAUGAAUGAGUGAGUGAAUGAAUGAAUGAGAAGAAGAGGCCCAGGGAUCCACGUGGCGGGCUGCAUCAUCUGAAGAGCCAGGGUCUCUCCACGCUGGGGAGGGAGGCGGAAUGAGAAGCAGGCUCCUAGACACUGUGAGAAGAGCACAAUCUUUGGGGAAAGUAAUGGGUGGGCAUCACUUAAUAAAGACGAUCUGA
Phacochoerus africanus (Common warthog) is the source of this 1077-nucleotide long non-coding RNA. RefSeq lists it as uncharacterized. The transcript has 3 exons. Lineage: Eukaryota; Metazoa; Chordata; Mammalia; Artiodactyla; Suidae. The record is from RefSeq and is a predicted model, not a curated record.